UACGGGGGGGGGCAAGCGUUGUUCGGAAUUACUGGGCGUAAAGGGCUCGUAGGCGGCCAACUAAGUCAGACGUGAAAUCCCUCGGCUUAACCGGGGAACUGCGUCUGAUACUGGAUGGCUUGAGGUUGGGAGAGGGAUGCGGAAUUCCAGGUGUAGCGGUGAAAUGCGCAGAUAUCAGGAGGAACACCGGUGGCGAAGGCGGUUCUCUGGGCCUGAUACUGACGCUGGAGGAGCGAAAGCGUGGGGAGCAAACAGG
This 256-nucleotide ribosomal RNA is filed under the name uncultured bacterium. Its description in RNAcentral is "partial 16S ribosomal RNA". It matches the Rfam family "Bacterial small subunit ribosomal RNA", at positions 524 to 776 of the family's 1533-position model. The record is from RNAcentral.